Molecule: transfer RNA, 74 nt
Filed under: Tissierellia bacterium
Lineage: Bacteria; Bacillati; Bacillota; Tissierellia
Description: tRNA-Pro
Rfam family: tRNA
About the family: Transfer RNA (tRNA) molecules are approximately 80 nucleotides in length. Their secondary structure includes four short double-helical elements and three loops (D, anti-codon, and T loops).
Source: RNAcentral
CGGGAUGUGGCGCAGCUUGGUAGCGCACAAGUCUGGGGGACUUGGGGUCGCAGGUUCAAAUCCUGUCAUCCCGA